This 482-nucleotide long non-coding RNA is filed under the name Danio rerio (zebrafish). Its description in RNAcentral is "lncRNA si:ch211-157e21.2 (ENSDARG00000105079.2)". The record is from RNAcentral. Lineage: Eukaryota; Metazoa; Chordata; Actinopteri; Cypriniformes; Danionidae.
ACAUGGGGCUCGAUGACAGACGCAACAACACGUGCAGAUUGUUUUUAAUACAGUUCCUGCAAAUGACAGCUAUCAAAAUCACUCAUAACAUGCAGUGGAUGCAAAGACAAUGCAGCUGUCAAGCACCACCGGAUCAGUGAAGUGUUGUGGACUGUAAGUCUGUUGAACAGAAGCAGAGACGAGUGGACAGACACUGACUGUACUGAUGAUGAUCAUCUGCUGCUGCACAGCAGUAAUGAAGUAUAACCCCUGCUGGACAUGGCUCCGGAAGCUCCAGGGGGAGACCGAACUGGUAUCCCCACCUCUCCAGGCACAACUCACUCACUGUGCACUCAUAUUGCAAAGAUCCGGCUGGGAUCGAUCCAGCAACCAUUAAAGUCAUGGGGCAGCGAUCUUACCACAGAGCCACUGAUCUCCUGUCUGGAUGCCUGCUGGAAUUUAUGUCACUGCUGACCUGUUUCAAUAAAACAAUAUAUACGUCA